UGCAGUGUCGUCCAGCAGUUAGGAUAUCUGGCUUUCACCCAGGAGACCCGAGUUUGAUUCCCGACAAUGGAA
RNAcentral lists this transfer RNA (72 nucleotides) under Ipomoea nil (Japanese morning glory). It matches the Rfam family "tRNA". From Rfam's summary of the family: Transfer RNA (tRNA) molecules are approximately 80 nucleotides in length. Their secondary structure includes four short double-helical elements and three loops (D, anti-codon, and T loops). Lineage: Eukaryota; Viridiplantae; Streptophyta; Magnoliopsida; Solanales; Convolvulaceae. The record is from Rfam by way of RNAcentral.